Molecule: long non-coding RNA, 674 nt
Organism: Bos indicus x Bos taurus (hybrid cattle)
Lineage: Eukaryota; Metazoa; Chordata; Mammalia; Artiodactyla; Bovidae
Source: Ensembl
CUCCCCUGACCCAUCCAGGGACUGAGAGAGAGCGGUGUAUUCCUGCCUUGUCGUCCCACAGACCACCAGACUUCCCACAAAGAGCCCUCACGGGACUGCCUCAAGCCAGGGUACCUUUUACAGCACCAUCAUUGGAAUAAGCCUCAGAAAAAUCAAGAUAUUUCCCUGAGGUUCCCCUGGCAGGGUUGCCUGACACCAGCCAGCCUUGAACUUGGUCCUGCUCCCGCCACAACAGGGACCUGGGGGCUCAGCCCAGCGUGUGCACUGUGGACCACAGCCUGCCUGACAGCCAAGGCUUCGUUCCAGGCAUCACCCGAAUCCGCGGGGCGGAGAUUCCUCCAACAAUCUCCCCGCCUAGGCCAGGAUCCCACCCGGGGACCGCGUGUUUUCGCUCCUUUCUUGCUCCUGGAGCCGGCUCCUCGCGGGACCCGCCAUGCUUUCAAGCCCAGAGGUUACGGGCAGUGAAAUACCAGGGUUUAUUGCUGUGAGUUUGGAACAUGAAUUUUUUGAGCAAUGCCGUCUGGGGUUCUGAUCUGUGUCUGGCUGUGUGACCUUGACCAGGUGUCUGCACCUCUCUGAGCUCCUGAUUGCUCAUCUGUGAAGUGGGCUAAUGAUCUCAACACUCAGGUUCCUUUGGAGGACUGAAUGUGAGACUGUUAGGGGAACUACUGUGG